Molecule: ribosomal RNA, 498 nt
Filed under: uncultured bacterium
Lineage: Bacteria
Description: partial 16S ribosomal RNA
Rfam family: Bacterial small subunit ribosomal RNA
Source: RNAcentral
AUUGAACGCUGGCGGCAUGCCUUACACAUGCAAGUCGAACGGUAACAGGUCUUCGGAUGCUGACGAGUGGCGAACGGGUGAGUAAUACAUCGGAACGUGCCUAGUAGUGGGGGAUAACUACUCGAAAGAGUGGCUAAUACCGCAUGAGAUCUACGGAAGAAAGCAGGGGAUCGCAAGACCUUGUGCUACUAGAGCGGCCGAUGGCAGAUUAGGUAGUUGGUGGGAUAAAAGCUUACCAAGCCGACGAUCUGUAGCUGGUCUGAGAGGACGAUCAGCCACACUGGGACUGAGACACGGCCCAGACUCCUACGGGAGGCAGCAGUGGGGAAUUUUGGACAAUGGGCGCAAGCCUGAUCCAGCAAUGCCGCGUGCAGGAUGAAGGCCUUCGGGUCGUAAACUGCUUUUGUACGGAACGAAAAGCCCCGGGUUAAUACCCUGGGGUCAUGACGGUACCGUAAGAGUAAGCACCGGCUAACUACGUGCCAGCAGCCGCCGUAA